GCUUUCGGGCUCGGCGCAGUCUGCGGGCGGGAGGGCGCCGGCGAGGUGGCGAGGGCGGCUGGCGCGGGGGCGCGGGAGCCCCGGCUAAGCCCGGGGACGGGAGGGCGCCCCCUCCCAGCGCCCGAACCCAGGCAACUUCCCGCCGCCCGGGCAGGAGUUUCUCCGUAGCCCACGGACAUCCGGGAGGCUUGUGGAGGGCAGGCGGGUAACCCCCACUCCCACCCCACCUUUAUCCAGGGGCAGCCAGAGGAGCCAGCAGGUCGGGACUCGCUGAGGGGGCUCCACGCGGGGCCUCCCACGCACAGGUACGCGCUGGUCCUCGGGGUGUCCCCAGUUUGGGAGGGAGACACGCACAGUCGCUCCCGUCCACACUCCUCUCGUGUCCUGGCUCCAUGACUGGGAGUCUGGGGAAAGAAGAAUGGGUGUCUGAGACCUACCCCUCCGCCGGUGUCGCCCCGCUCUUUCUGGGCGUAGGAGCGGGCUGCCUGCCCCUCUCCCGCACCUUCCUGGUCUCGGGCUAGAACUGGGGCUUCCCAUCGGCCGCGCUUCCCUUAGGGGCGCCAUCUGAGGUCGGAAGCAAAGCUGGAGGGGCGUCCAGGCCAGAGGACGCGGGCUGGGGCGGGAGCCUCGGCAGCCUGGUGGGAGCUGGUGCCCACUGCAGGGUGCGUGUACGGGGCUGCCUGCGUGUGCUUGGUGUGUGUCACUUCUGGGAGCGUACCCCGUGUGUCCACGGGGUGUGUAUGCGCCCACGGAAGUCCUCUGUGCAUGCGUGUCUGUGCCAUAGGCGUGGGAACACCUCGUGCACCCAUGGUACUUGCCCGGAGAGUAGGAAGCCAGCGAGGGAGCGGCCCUGCUCCAGGGUCUCUUCCCUGCUCAUCCCUCCAGCUGGCCCAGAUUACACCCUACUCACACCCGGGUCGCGGCCCACUUUCCCCAUAGCCGCAGCUUCCGGCGGCUGCACACUUCUUAGUGCUCAUCCUGCCUUCUCGCCCCAACUCGUUGUGCCCUUCCCUCCUUGGAGAGUGAGUAGAAGAGGGGAUGGGGAGGAAUCCGUUUCCAUCCCCCGCGACCCCCUCACCUAGGGCGGAGGCGCAAGCUCUGCUGGGUGCUCUCCGCCCCCUUGAUCGCCGCUCUCGGUUUUCAGCACCAGGAUCCGGACAGCUCCCCACCUGGCCCUGAGGGGCCUCUUUCCUUGCCCUGGCCUGGAACGCCCCCGCCCUGGCCUUUAUAGCUUCCAGCUAGCUCCAGUACCCUAUCCUAGACCCUCUUCCCUGCCCCCAACACAAACACACAUCCGGCCUUCCCAUCCCGGACUUCUGUCGGGUGGCCAGGAGCACCCAGGGCCAGAACCUGCCUGGGAAAUCUCUGAAACUGACUGGCAGGCGUCACCACAUCACAGCCUGUCUUUCUCCAAAGGGCAGUGACUGAAGAGAGACUGCUACAGCCCUGCUACAGGCUCCCUUUCCCACCUCAGUUCAUUAAAAUAAGUGAAUAAAGCCAGAUUCCUUCCCCAAAGGCUAGCCAGACUUCAGAAGGCACUCUUAGAUCUAGGAUUUUCUGGAUUCUUGAAACGCAACUGGUGGACCCUAGACCCCCUUCCAGACAUUCUCACAGCCCCUCCUUCCUCUCUUUUUCUAAAUCCAGGCCUCCUCCGGUGGAAGGGGAUGGAAUGAACCCCAACCAUCUCUCCAUUUCCAGCAGCAGAGAGGGUUCAGAUGAUGUCAUGGCUUUGGGGGCGCUGGAUGGGAGAUGUAUGUGCAGAUUCUCACCACAGAUGUGCCCUGGGCUCCCCAAGACACCUCUAGAGGUGACUUUUGUGGGACCACGGCUCUGUGCAGACUGCUUUCACUGGGAUGUGGCCACCCAGAGACCUCUGAGGAUGCUCGCAUCCCAAGUGGAAUCCAGGAUACAGCAACUCUACCUGUGGCUCUCCCCACUCCUUUAGCUGACAAAUGCUCGUAUGUUGUGUGGAAUAUCGUCCUAGACACCUCUCCUUAGUGAGAGAGAAAGGUGUCUCCUUAGUGUCAUCCCAAACCCUCCAGGAAGAGCAGAAAGGGCCUGUGUGAUGCCCUAGCUGAUUCAGGGAUAGGUGAAGAAAGUCAAGGAGAAGUCCCCUCUCUCCAUCCUGCCUAUCCUACUUCUGAGAACUUUGGUAAGCUGGAGAUGGGGAGCCCUUCUCCUACCAGGGAAUUGGGCAAUUUUUCCUCUCUCCACAUUCUUCUCUCUCAGGCAGCAGAGACUAGGCCAACCUUGUCGGAUCUGGCCCAGGACAGAUCCAUGUGUUGUCUUUGUUCCACUGAGGCAAAGGGCAGGAGAGGAGAUCUGGGCUUGGAGAGGAGGGUGCCUCUUUGCAGAAGCUCUGGGACCUGGGGUGAGGCAGUCACACUCUCCGCACAAAAUGGCCUUUUCUCUGAAGCAGACAUUGUUCUGCCUACUGCUGAGCUACCAGAGAGAGGAGAGAAAAAUCCCCCCAGGCUGGGGACAAGGGAAGGAGAGGCAGCCACCCCAGUCCAGUGGCACUUCCUUCUGACAGGGUAGAAGUCUAAGCCCAGCUCCUGUGACAUUCUCAGAGUGUCCACGGGUCUCGAGGGAAGCUGAAAAUGGCUGUUCUCUCAAAUGAAUUACUUUUCAGACAAAAAGAACAGCGUAUGACUCAGUUAAGGAGGUGGCAGUGUGGACAAAACACACAGAGAGCAAGAGGAUGAGCCUUCCACUAAAGGUCAGUGGUCUCCCCAGGGUCUUUCAGCCCAAAUUCAGUCCCCUGGGAGUGCAAAGCUGCCACCAUCUGCCUAGCCCCAUGCCUGACCACUUUCCAAGCUUCUCUGGCUCCAUGACCUUCCUCUGUGCUCAGCUGGGUAACAUCUGGCUGCAGCCUCAUGGGAAGGCUGGCCAAGAUCGGGCAGGUACAGAGAAGUUUGCUUGUGGAUAUGAGCAUGGCUUCUCUGGUUUUGCACAGCAGAG
RNAcentral lists this long non-coding RNA (2961 nucleotides) under Homo sapiens (human). RNAcentral's name for it is "non-protein coding lnc-LEP-2:3". The record is from RNAcentral. Lineage: Eukaryota; Metazoa; Chordata; Mammalia; Primates; Hominidae.